CGCGUAGGCGGACUUUCAAGUCAGGGGUGAAAUCCCGAGGCUCAACCUCGGAACUGCCUUUGAUACUGUAAGUCUUGAGUCCGAGAGAGGUGAGUGGAAUCCCUAGUGUAGAGGUGAAAUUCGUAGAUAUUAGGAAGAACACCAGUGGCGAAGGCGGCUCACUGGCUCGGUACUGACGCUGAGGUGCGAAAGCGUGGGGAGCAAACA
Molecule: ribosomal RNA, 207 nt
Filed under: uncultured bacterium
Lineage: Bacteria
Description: partial 16S ribosomal RNA
Rfam family: Bacterial small subunit ribosomal RNA
Source: RNAcentral